AUCACUUCUCUGCCCUUUGGCUAAGAUCAAGUGUAGUAUCUGUUCUUAUCAGUUUAAUAUCUGAUAUGUUCUUUAUCCGAGGACUAUAUAUUAAAUGGAUUUUUGGAUCUGGGAGUUGGAAAGGGGGCUUGCUCCUUCCACUCUGUGCAUCAACCUGGUAUUGCAGUGUUUCUAGGACUGGUGCAUCUUCC
Elgaria multicarinata webbii is the source of this 191-nucleotide small nuclear RNA. RefSeq annotates it as U2 spliceosomal RNA. NCBI's taxonomy places the organism in Eukaryota, Metazoa, Chordata, Lepidosauria, Squamata, Anguidae. The transcript has a single exon. The record is from RefSeq and is a predicted model, not a curated record.